AUGCCCGGAUCAUCGCUGUGGUUCCAGCGCAGCAGCCAUCCUGCGGCGACACAACGGCCUAUCAAGUACAACGAUCAAGGCAUAGUCGACAGCCUUACCGAAAAUAAUCUGACAAGUAUGUGGGCUAGCAGAAGGAUAGGGGAGGACGGCCAAUUGUAUGGAGUCCAUGUUCAGGGCACUGCUGGCAUCGGUCUCCCAACUACGGUGCUUGUCAAGAAGUUCCAGAACCUGAACCCAGCACUACUGGUGGAUGACAAUGUCAGGAACCGCUGCAAGUCGGAGAUGGUCCUAUUAGCCAGCAUCUGUCAUGACAACGUCAUCAAUGUCAUACACUUCAUCCAAAGGGAGGAAUCCAUCAUGCUCGUCUACGAGUACCCGGUGAACGGCAACGUUGACUAUUGGCUACACCGGCGGGAGGGGGGCGAGCAGCCGCUGAGUUGGCCACAAAGGAUGGGCAUUGCCAUUGGUGUGGCCCAAGGGCUCUGCCACUUGCACCACAAAUGCAACAGACCGACUGUCCACCACAACAUCAACUCUAACAAUAUCUUGCUUGAUCAGAAUUUCAAGGCCGUGAUAGCCAGCUUUGGCGCUGCGCAGAUGAACAUCGCCGGGCUUAACCAAACAUUGCCGAUCACGGAGAUUCCUGUUGGUAACUUUGGGUAUGUAGCUCCAGAGUAUGGUGUCGCAGCAAGCCAGCUGACAGAGAAGGCAGACAUUUACAGCUUCGGCGUGGUGCUGCUAGAGCUAGUCACAGGGAAGUUGGCAAAUGGAGCAGAUGGUCUAUUGGCGAUUUGGGCUCGGGACAACUGCAAUGAAUUGAUGGCAAACCAUCUGAAAAUGUUCAAGAUUGUCGUGGACAAGAGCAUCCCUGAUCAAGCACGGUACAUGGAAGAGAUGGCGACGGUGUUCAGGCUAGGUGUGGAUUGUACCGUUGGGGAUCCGAAGCAAAGGCCGUUCAUGCAGAUGGCUCUCAAACGACUCCGUCGCAGCCGUGGGCGUGGUCCAUUCCUUGGCCUCCUCAACCUAUACAUGGAUGUAGUCCAAGUGAAGGACAAAGUGGCAUGUGAGAUCAGCUCAGCGGAUGAACUGGCAUUGACAGAGCUUAUGUUCAGUGAUACUUUGAAGGAUGCUAUAGUAGAAAAAGAUGGUGGCUCUGCUUUCUUGCUUUUUUUGGCAACAAAAGCUUCAGGGUGCCCCAAAACCGUGGGGGUCAAAAGGACGUGA
Molecule: ribosomal RNA, 1224 nt
Filed under: Triticum aestivum (bread wheat)
Lineage: Eukaryota; Viridiplantae; Streptophyta; Magnoliopsida; Poales; Poaceae
Description: partial small subunit ribosomal RNA
Source: RNAcentral